GUGACCUCGAUCAGUAGCAUCUCGUC
RNAcentral lists this ribosomal RNA (26 nucleotides) under Strelitziana africana. RNAcentral's name for it is "partial 28S ribosomal RNA". The record is from RNAcentral. Lineage: Eukaryota; Fungi; Ascomycota; Eurotiomycetes; Chaetothyriales; Trichomeriaceae.